AGCGAGCGCUGGCGGCGUGCCUAACACAUGCAAGUCGAACGUGAAAGGGAGCAAUCCCAAGUAAAGUGGCGUACGGGUGAGUAACACGUAGGUAAUCUACCCCAGAAUCUGGAAUAACCGGCCGAAAGGCUGGCUAAUACUGGAUAGAGCGACGGAAUCCGUAAUUGGGUUUUUCGGGAAAGGGAGCCUGUAAAAAGGCCUUCGUUCUGGGAUGAGCCUGCGUCCCAUCAGCUAGUUGGUGAGGUAAAAGCUUACCAAGGCAAUGACGGGUAGCUGGUCUGAGAGGACGAUCAGCCACACUGGAGCUGAAACACGGCCCAGACACCUACGGGAGGCAGCAGUGGGGAAUAUUGCGCAAUGGACGAAAGUCUGACGCAGCAACGCCGCGUGAGUGAAGAAGGCCUUCGGGCUGUAAAGCUCUGUCGAGUGGGACGAAAAUGCUUGGAGUUCACAGCUCCAGGAACUGACGGUACCACUAAAGGAAGCACCGGCUAACUCCGUG
This 502-nucleotide ribosomal RNA is filed under the name uncultured bacterium. Its description in RNAcentral is "partial 16S ribosomal RNA". It matches the Rfam family "Bacterial small subunit ribosomal RNA", at positions 29 to 507 of the family's 1533-position model. The record is from RNAcentral.